AGUGAACGCUGGCGGUAGGCCUAACACAUGCAAGUCGAACGGCAGCACAGUAAGAGCUUGCUCUUGCUGUUGGCGAGUGGCGGACGGGUGAGGAAUACAUCGGAAUCUACCUUUUCGUGGGUGAUAACGGAGGGAAACUUACGCUAAUACCGCAUACUUCCAACGGGUGGAAUCAGGGGAUCUUCAGGCCUUGCGCGACUGAAUGAGCCGAUGUCGGAUUAGCUAGGUGGCGGGGUAAAGGCCCACCAAGGCGACGAUCCGUAGCUGGUCUGAGAGGAUGAUCAGCCACACUGGAACUGAGACACGGUCCAGACUCCUACGGGAGGCAGCAGUGGGGAAUAUUGGACAAUGGGCGCAAGCCUGAUCCAGCCAUACCGCGUGGGUGAAGAAGGCCUUCGGGUUGUAAAGCCCUGUUGUUGGGAAAGAAAAGCAGCAGGUUAAUACCCCGCUGUUCUGACGGUACCCAAAGAAUAAGCACCGGCUAACUUCGUG
This 492-nucleotide ribosomal RNA is filed under the name uncultured bacterium. Its description in RNAcentral is "partial 16S ribosomal RNA". It matches the Rfam family "Bacterial small subunit ribosomal RNA", at positions 29 to 507 of the family's 1533-position model. The record is from RNAcentral.